This 320-nucleotide ribosomal RNA is filed under the name uncultured bacterium. RNAcentral describes it as "bacterial SSU rRNA". It matches the Rfam family "Bacterial small subunit ribosomal RNA", at positions 470 to 789 of the family's 1533-position model. The record is from RNAcentral.
AGACGGUAUUUCAGGAGGAAGCCCCGGCUAACUACGUGCCAGCAGCCGCGGUAAUACGUAGGGGGCAAGCGUUGUCCGGAAUGAUUGGGCGUAAAGGGCGCGUAGGCGGCCCGGUAAGUCUGGAGUGAAAGUCCUGCCUUCAAGGUGGGAAUUGCUUUGGAUACUGUCGGGCUUGAGUGCAGGAGAGGUAAGUGGAAUUCCCAGUGUAGCGGUGAAAUGCGUAGAGAUUGGGAGGAACACCAGUGGCGAAGGCGACUUACUGGACUGUAACUGACGCUGAGGUUCGAAAGCGUGGGUAGCAAACAGGAUUAGAUACCCUG